This 506-nucleotide ribosomal RNA is filed under the name Mycetophagus quadripustulatus. RNAcentral describes it as "partial 16S ribosomal RNA". The stretch from base 385 to 506 matches the Rfam family "Bacterial large subunit ribosomal RNA", at positions 2473 to 2595 of the family's 2925-position model. Lineage: Eukaryota; Metazoa; Arthropoda; Insecta; Coleoptera; Mycetophagidae. The record is from RNAcentral.
CAUGUCUUUUUGAGUAUUAUUUAAAGUCUGACCUGCCCAAUGAUUUUUUAAAUGGCCGCAGUAUUUUGACUGUGCAAAGGUAGCAUAAUCAUUAGUUUUUUAAAUGGAAGCUGGAAUGAAGGGUUUGAUAAGAAAAAGGCUGUCUCAAUUAUAAAGUUAAAAUUUUAUUUUUAAGUUAAAAAGCUUAAAUUUUUUAAAAAGACGAGAAGACCCUAUAGAGUUUAAUAAUUAAUAAUUUAAUUUAUAAAAAGAUGGAAAUUUAAUUAAAUUUUAUAAUUAUUUUAUUGGGGUGAUAAAAAAAUUUAAUAAACUUUUUAAUUUAUAAACAUAAAUUUAUGAAUAGUUGAUCCUAUAUUUUAGAUUAAAAGAAAAAAUUACCUUAGGGAUAACAGCGUAAUUUUUUUGUAGAGUUCUGAUCGAUAAAAAAGAUUGCGACCUCGAUGUUGGAUUAAAGUUAAAUUUUGGUGUAGAAGCUAAAAAUUUAGGUCUGUUCGACCUUUAAAACU